CACGUAGGCGGGAUGGCAAGUCGGUCGUGAAAUCCCUCGGCUCAACCGAGGAGCGUCGAUCGAAACUGCCGUUCUUGAGGGUUGCAGAGGAGACUGGAAUUCCCGGUGUAGCGGUGAAAUGUGUAGAGAUCGGGAGGAACACCGGUGGCGAAGGCGGGUCUCUGGGCAAUUCCUGACGCUGAGGCGCGAAAGCGUGGGGAGCAAACGGGAUUAGAUACCCCGGUAGUCCACGCUGUAAACGAUGACGACUAGGUGUGGGGGGGUUCAGUCCCUUCCGUGCCGCAGCUAACGCAUUAAGUCGUCCGCCUGGGGAGUACGGCCGCAAGGUUGAA
Molecule: ribosomal RNA, 332 nt
Filed under: uncultured bacterium
Lineage: Bacteria
Description: bacterial SSU rRNA
Rfam family: Bacterial small subunit ribosomal RNA
Source: RNAcentral